Molecule: ribosomal RNA, 292 nt
Filed under: uncultured bacterium
Lineage: Bacteria
Description: partial 16S ribosomal RNA
Source: RNAcentral
GGACUACCAGGGUAUCUAAUCCUGUUCGCUCCCCACGCUUUCGCUCCUCAGCGUCAGGUAAGGCCCAGAGAACCGCCUUCGCCACCGGUGUUCCUCCCGAUAUCUGCGCAUUUCACCGCUACACCGGGAAUUCCAUUCUCCCCUACCUACCUCUAGUCUGUCCGUAUCCACUGCAAGCCAGGGGUUAAGCCCCGGGUUUUCACAGCAGACGCAACAGACCGCCUACGAGCUCUUUACGCCCAAUAAUUCCGGACAACGCUUGCGCCCUACGUGUUACCGCGGCGGCUGGCAC